CCCGGGAGCACUUCUGGCCUUUUGGGUUCCAGUGGAGUCUGAAAAUGCUAGAAGCAGAGCUGAUCCUCUUGUCUUGGGAAGACUCAGGGAUUUGCUUUGGUUUUCAGUGGCCACACGUGUAGGGUUGACUGCAGCGUCCCUGAUUUGCUAGAAGAGGGUUUGCAGUGGCUCAGCGAUCCUCCGGACAGGGCCCCCCCGCCGUUCCUGAGGAAUUUGUGUCAGACUGAACAUUUCAUACAACGCGGCAGAUUUUGUCACCUUGAUUCGAAGGAAGUUGAUUGUGUUAACGCUUAAAGAUCAGGAGGGAACACAGAUGACGGGAGAAUAGAAGGCUGCUGGUCUGCAAGGAGCAGGGUUCAGAGGACGUGUCCUGGGCCAGGACCCACAUGUGUGCCAACAGCUUGCUGAGGCUCUGCUAGCAAGGCUGGGGAUGGCUGUGGUGCCUUCUGUGCUGCUCUGGAGGGCAGAAGAUUUGUGCCUUGGGCCACUGGCAGGCAGCUGCCUAAAACGCUACGGGUGCAGGCAGAAGGCUAAACCUUCAAGGAGUGCCGCUUGCCGUUACCAUGACUGGCUGUGUCCUUAAACCGCAGACCAAAACAUUUCCAGUUCCAGAGUCUGGUGUCCUUCUCCAAGGUCUCUGGCUCUGGUGGCCAGGGCUGUUGCUUGGUGGUGCCAAGCUGAUGAAGAGCCACCAGUUGUUAUCCUGCUGUACAGAUGUGCCAGAGGUAGCUGUGACCACGGGUGACUGUCUCCAUGAGCCCAAGGAGAAAUAGCAGUCUUCCUUGGACGACGUUCACAGUCACGGUGUCGAAUUCCAUAACGAGAGCCCGUCGCAAGCACAAGCUGCCGUGGGAGCCCAUGGCUCCCGUCACCCAGGUCCUUUGUCUUUAUCAGGGGGCUGCUCCGUGACUCACUUCCAUUGCCAUCGCUGAACGCAGCUAUCAGAUGCCACAGCUUUUUUUAUUAUUAUUAUUUAUUAAUUUUUAUUUUUGAGCUUGAGCCCGUGUGCUCUCCAGGAAAGCCAGGCUGUCAUCAAGCGCAGGCUGCGGAGCUUGAACCAGGGCUACCUCCAGCACAACGCCGGGGCUGUGCUCAGCGGUAUGUUUGGUUCGUUCCCCCCGAGCUCCACUGAACUGCGACGACGCUUCACAUUCUGCACAGGGAACGUGAAACUCCAGCAUCAUGGAGCAGUGUCACUGCAGCUCCCCUCGGAACGAAGCACGUGCAAUACCUGCCGCGCUCCUUACAGAACUGCCCUCAAAACAACGUCCUGGAUGCACGCAGAGAAGGUGAAUACCUUAGGGAAAUGUUUUUAUUUAUUCUUCUUGGGUGCCUAUAUGGCAAUCACCCAUGCAGCAUGAUCCAGGAUGUUGAAAACCAUUUCAUUAUGUUCUAUAAAUAAAGGACUGAUGUGGUUCAAUUGUAUCAAUUAUGCAACUCUUCUAAGUGGUGUAGGCAAGGGUAAGCGCCGGCGAAGGGCACUCCCUCUGUACCCACUGCUGCUGUGGGCACGUCUCCUGUUUACCUGCUCCUCAUAUACCACAGAGAGAUGAAUCUGCCCACUUCUAUUUACCGCUGUGCCACUGACUCCUCUUUGGUCAGGAGCUUUUCCGAUGCACAGAUGACACAACGAAACAGAAAAUGGAAGUCCAGACACUGCUGUGUGUGAGUCUGUUGUGCAAGAUGCAAGUGUGGCCGUACAGUAAUUUCAAGCAAAGCAUCGGUUUUAAACAAUGUUUAAACUGACACCAUUAUUAUGCAAUAUAAUUAAUUAUGGCUAGAAGGGCAUUUGAGGUUAGUUGGCGCUACCUUUGUCCAUUUUAUAAUUAUACCAAGAAGAGGAUGACUAAGUUGUGCCUAAGCUAAUUGUAUCCAUUUGGUUUUAUCCCUCCUCUUCACCACUGCAAGUUACUUGCAUUCUGGACUGGGAGGUUUUCUGAGGGGUUUGGGUGCGUUUGUGCUGAACACAGUGCUGGCCGGGCAGCCUCAGGUAACACUGCAGUAGUAGCACUAGCAAUAAUUACAGAUAGUCAAAGUGAUAAGUGCAAAGCAAAUGUCACUUUUUUUCCCGCCGCUGUGCCAGUUACCUGCAAGAGAUUUAUUCUGUCUGCUCCUGCUCUGGGUGUUCUAGGACAGAGGAUCGAGCUGGUGUCCUCCAGACGCGCAGGGAACCCAGCAGAGCCCUCUGGGGAGCGGCUGAGGACUGGGGGCUGAUGGAGGCAGCAGCACCCCCGGGGCCAGCCGCGGUGCCGAGGGGGUGCCUGGGGGUGGCGGGGGUGGGGAGGGUUGGUGGUCCAGAGUCCCAGUGCGGCUCAGUGUCCCAGGCUGAGGGAGCCGGGCUGGAGCUGAGCACUGCCCUGGCCUGGGCCGCCUGCGCGCAGCCGCCGGACAGCCUGCCCAGAGGUGGUGGGGCGUAAGCCGUCUCCUGUGAAUGUUACCUGGCAGCGUCAGGAUUAAAAACAAACAAAAAACUCAGCCAACCAAACAAAAAAACACCACCAAAAACCCCCAAACCCAAUGAUGAUAGAUUUACCUCGGAAAGGAAUUUAGUAAUACAUGGUCUUGUUUGGCUACGACAAACGGCUGUAGUCCUCAGCUGAUGGCUGGAAACUGGACUGCACUUAUGUAAAAUAGAACUGCCUGCAAGGAUUGAACACUGUAAUUAACAGGCAGUUUUAGAAAUUAUUGGCUAAUGCCAUUUAAUAGAAAUACUGCCAACUAUUGUUGUAAAAACUUGGUUCGCUCCUUCUGUGGUAAUAUAAAAUGAUUCACCAGGGCUUCACUGGGAAGAGAUACCUUUGUCUGUUACAUAUUGUUACCUACAGUUUUAGAGUCGUCUAAUACGACAAUACGAAUUUUGAAAUUUAAAUAUAUUUCCCAAAACUGACUAGCGGGCCAACUGCCUCCCGCCCCCAGCCGCAGUGUUGGUGAUACAACCUGCCCUGUUGACCGUGAGAUGGCAUUUCUGACCCAGCCCCGCGGCAGCCGAGGCAGCUUUUGCCACUGAUGGUGUUUAAGCAGUUGCAAGUUUAAAGGUUUCUGUAGCAGGCAGAUACGUUUAUGUGAGCCUGAGCAGCUCCACCUAGAAUAUUUCCUUUGCAGGGUGUACAGUAUCAUUCAGAGAAUUAAUCUGUAUUUUCGGUAACAAACUGAACCACACUGGAGAGUACAGGUAGCUCUGCGAUACGGUGCUCUGCUCAUGCGAUGUAGCUGUUGUAUCACGUUAUAUCACCUCAGAACCAUUUUCACAGUGCUGCAAUAGUGACCGAAAGGUUAUUUCUCAAACCUUGUCACCCAGAAGGUACCAGCUGAGAAGUUUCUGUUUGAUUGCUAAAGAGUAAAAAGCAACAAGUGAAUAUUGGCAAAUCUCAGAUGAGGCACGAUGUGGAUGUUGCACACCUCAGCCUAACGCCCACCUCCGCUUCAGGGAAAGGAGAAACCAGACCUGCAGACAUGCUACUCGCCUCCUGGUUUGAGAGUUCCCCCUCACCUGUUUGGAAAUGAACUCCAGAACCUCACUGCUUUCUAUUUACUGCACCAGAGCCAGUGAUCGCGCAGUGCUUCCGAAGAGUCAGCAGUUGCACCCCUAUUACAGCAUUUUAUGAUGCCUAUUAAUGUAUAGAUUUAGAAGAAAAGGCGGUCUGUGCGGAGACUGGCCUUCCUGAUAGAAGAGGGGGAGCUAGAGUCCUCUCUCUGUUCAUCUGGAAGCAGCCCCAAGGCGAGGCCCCGGCGUGCCGGGGAGGGUGGCCAUUGUGGGAGUGUGACCGGCCGCAGCCGGGCCACCUCAGGGCAGGGCUCAGGCAGACGUCGGACAAAGGCAGCGCUCCCAGAGCCUGGCUUCUGGCUGCAGCCACUGGCGAGUUUAAGCACAGGGGCUCUGUGGGCCUCAAGGGCAAGAGGCAAUGCCCCUACCUUGUUUCAAAGGCGGGCACUUCAGAGCACAGGGGCAUCGGCUCCCAGAAACGCUGGUGGUCAGCCCCCUCCUGACAUGCCUGAAGGGAGUGAGACAGGGGUGCUGACAGCUCCAAAGGGAUUUGGGUGCCCUAUCCCACUGCCUUCCAGUAGUAUGGACUGUGACAAGCUCUUGGAGAACCCAUAAAACCCAGCCCCACUGUCCAAGGCAGGUUCCAGCCACCCCCCGAGGCUGAAGUGCUUAUAAAGGUGGUGAAGCUGGUAUAUUAACAAAUAAUAUUGAGUGAAUUGAUUUUCCCUUCCUGCAUUGCUGUCUCUGCUCUGUUCCCUCCAUUGAUCUAGGCACUAAAAGACAAUUUAUUCCCAUGUCCAGACCCCACGUAUCAUUGUAUCAGGGGACUUCUUGUCCACUCACUAGAAACCGUGAAGAUGUGAAUGCACCUUCUCUUUUGAAAUGUUACUCCAUCCUCCCACACCUCUUUCUUUGCUAACUGCAGUCAGCCAUCCCUGGGACUGACACCCACUCUGCUCCCAACUCACCCAUGAACAGACAUGAAAACAGACCUUGCUAAAUAGACUGCAGCUCCCGUUCCAGGCGCUUGGACACUACAUCUGACCCAUAAAUGAGAGACCACUGUGUGGGUAAGGACGCCGGGCUUCAGCGCUCGCUCCAUGGCGCAGGUGACUCAUCCUGGCCCUCACCACAGCAGCGCUGAGGUGCUCCAGGACUUAUGGACUGAGCCAAGUGGAGGCUACUGCUGGUCCUGAGGAGGUGUUUGGGAACAUCUCCCCAUAGGGAUGGGCCCCACACAACCUGAACAAGAAGGUGGCUGAACUCCCCAAGGACCCCUGAUUCCACGCUGACGGCUCCCGUGGGCCUCCUUGCAGACUGUGGCACAGCUGGAGCAUCUGGCUGAGAAGCUGAAGGUGCACUAGAGCCCCUCGGCCCGCUCCUCCUGCCCGCCCUCCCAGGGAAAGCCCUACAGCCGUGCCCUCGCUUCUGGUAAAAGUUUUCCACUUUUUGUACCAACAGCUUCCUGCGAAGACGGAGGACGCAGAGCAAACGGAAAGCUCGGUGUGGGACACGGUGCAAAAGAGGUUUCAAAAGGUGAAGGGAGGAAAAGCUACCUCGUGCUGGUACCACAAUGGCUCAGCACUGAUGCCAUAAAUAAAAGGAAAUGUGUUGGACGUUUUAUUUUGCUUGUGUGGUAAACUGUACAGUUGGAGUCUGAAUAAACCUCUUUUGUCAAUUUUAUUACCUUCCUGAUAUAAAAAUAAAUAAACUUAAACAAAAGAGUGGAGACCUGCCACACCAGCCUGGUUCAGUAAGAACUGCACUGACAAGGGAAUAAUUUUGACCUAAAGCUGAGGGGAUAAAACGAUAAGCUUUUGGGAAGGCAAAGCCCCUCCAGAACAAGCUGUGGAGCACAGGAGGAUCUAGAAUAAAGAAUGAAAAAGGGUAUUCUUCCAAAAGGAAAGGAAAAUGCAAAAAUGACAUAAAAUUUUUGCUACCAGAACUGCUUUCUAGUUUGAUGGAAAGGCUGCAUGCAACAGCUGCUCAGAAAUAGGAGCGCGGCAGAGUAAUAGCAGCUGGGAGCAUUUUAAUGAUUGCUAAAAAAGAAAUAAAAUCACAAGUAAAUGAUACAGUGUAUUAAGUAACUAUUAAUAGGCUGAAUAUAAAACAGACAUCAAGAAAUCAUGCUUUUACUUUGCAGUUAAUCUCAGCAGUGAGUUCUAGGCUUACCACCCCAGUGCCCACAUGGGAACCUCAGUAGGCAGCAACACGUAAUUAGCGCUGGGUGGAGGUGAAUCAACCCCUUUCCGUCAUGAAGCCAAGGAGAGACCCUCAGACCAUCUGCCAAAGGUGGGCGGGUGGGUGAAUAAGAGUGUUACUUUCUUGCUAGACUCCAAUCAGGGCGCCACACCUUGUGAUAGCAUCUCUGUAAUAAGCAAACAACUUUAAAUGAUGUUGUGUCACUGCAGGAGGGUGACCCAGCAAGUCAGGUUUCAUGUGCACGAGGGACUGCAGGUGCUCACACUCGCCUGGGAACCCUCAGCCUGCCCAGCAGAGGAACCUGACCUUUCAGACUGGGUCUCCUUCGUGAGAGAUGCACGUGGUCCACGCCAGCGCUGGCACCACGCGAACAUCCUACUUGCUUUUCUGUGCAUCACUGUUGAAAGUCUUCUAAUGUGCUGUAAGGAGAUUACAAACCUAAGUCCAUCACAGAAAUACAAUCCCAUUAGUAUGGGUACAAGGAAAGAUGAGAGGAUUAUGUAUAUUUCUUCUCAUUAGCAAGACAUGCCCGAUGCUGCAUGCCCAAGUGUUCCUGCAGAGUCGUUACCUCCUGCACUGCGCCCGCCUUUCCUCUAUUGCAACUCCACGGUCCGGUCCCAGUCGGAGGGGAGGUGUCUGCUCUGCUCUGCCAAGCCUUUCUGGCCGUAAAGGCCCCAGUGAAUCCCAGUCCCAGCCCUCCAUGAGGCUAGCCCAUGUCUGCACUAACCAGCAUUUCCAGGAGUUUUGUCUUCCACAGACAUGGAGCGAUUCAGGGGCGCCACUGAUGCCGUGGCUGCAGCCAGGCCCCCGCGGCAGGAGAGACCCUCAGGCCACCCAAGGGCAUGCCAGCUUGGCGAAGCCAUGUUUGUCCUGCUCUGGCUCCAGUCAGACCUGGUGGCUUUCCAACCAUUUUGUUUCUUGCUUUCUAUAGUAGUACUUACCUCAGGAUUGUACUUCAGACCCCAGUGAACCAAGGUUAUACCUAGUGAAACUCAACCGUCUUCUGUGAUUUCAAACUACUAUAGGCCAUUGUGCAAAUGUGUAUUUUGGCAAGUGCCUGGCCCUUCCUGUUGACUGAACUACUCACGCUCUCUAGAAACCACCAUUCCUGUCCCUAGCACUCCGUGCAGAUCACCUUACCCUUUCUUCUUCCUUAUUUUUUCCUUUUAUUCAAACUAGUUGAAUCCUUGCCAGGUGCCAGGAUCUGACACUACCAUACUCUUCUGCCCAUUGGCCUGGUAGGCUCGUUCCUCCUCUGUUCCCAUUUCCUCCCCUUAGAGUUCCUGCCCUGAGGUAACACAAAGGCCAUGGCAACAAUGGCAGGAAGAUCAUCCUUGGUGGAAGGCUGGAAGAAAGGGAUUCCCAACAGGAGAAAUAGGUGUGUCCUGGUUAGGUUGCUUCUGAGUUUGACCUGCUCUACCACUCCCUACCAAAAAUGCCCUCAACCAACACUGCAGGCUCAUGCUGAAGCUCUCAUAAACUCAACACGUGUAAUCAACAGGCUUCUUCUGAAAGGGAUUAGCCAAAGCACUAGAAAAGAUGAAGAUGUCUUACAUAAGGUAUCAGUACAUUUUUCCUGGGAAUAUUAUAGGGCAAGUUCACACAGUAUCCAUGUCCAGAUACAAGAAGGUAGCUAGGAACGGCCAGCAUGGGUCUACUACAGACAAAGUGUACCCAACCAACACAGCUGUCAUCUGUGCUGGAAUGAGGGGAUGGAUGGACGAGGUGGGGGAAGCGGUUACUUCGGUUUUAGCAUGGCCUUUGACAUUGUCUGCCAUAUGGGCCAAACUGGAGUGGUAUUGCCUGAAUGGAUGGACCACAGCCUGGCUGAAAAAAGCUGGGCCAUGAAGCUCAAAGGAUAAUAAUGGUCAACAACUAGGCAUUUAAUUGGCAUUUACAGAUGGCAUUCCUCAAGUGACAACGCCUGGGCCUGUCUCCACCAGCAACCUGGAUGCCAGAGCAGAAUGGUUCCUCAGCCAGUUUGGGCAUCACAUUGAACUGAUGCUGUAGGUCAUUAUGCUGGAGGACAAGGCAGCCAUUCAGGUGGUCUUCAUCAGCCUUAAAGACAAGCCUGACAGAAAUCUUCUGAAAUUCAGCAAGGACAAAUGUAAAGUCUGCACCUGACACAGAAUAAACCCGUGCGACGGCACAGGCUGGGAACGGAGCGGGUAGAAAGCAGCUUUGCUAAAAGAAGGACCUGGGCUCCUGGUGGACAACAUGCUGAAGGGCCAGCAGUGUGCCUUUGCCGUGAUGGCGGCUGGUGGCACCCGGGGCUGCCAGCGAGAACAGAGCCAGGCUCUCCGCAGAGGUGCACAGCACAAGAGCAAUGACCGCGAGCUGCAGCAGGAGAAAUCCCAUUGGAUGGCACAGAAGACAUUUUCCAAAAUAAGAGCAGUUAAACUGGAGCAGGCACCUAGAGAGGUUUGUGAAAUCCCCACCCUUGGAGAUUUCAAAAAUGCGAUGGACAAAUCCCUGAGCAACCUAAGCUAAUGGUGAAGUUACUCUACUUUGAGGAGGCCGGAGUGCAGCCCUCCAGAUGUCCCUUCCAGCCGAUAAUAUUUUGUGGGUUGCUUUGUUGGGGUUUUUUUGAUAGCUGCCAAUCAGGGAGAUCUGGCUGGAGUUAAUUAUUCAUCAAAAAGAAUGGAAGCUGUUAUCUCUAUAGCAUCACCUGCCAAUUAUUUAUUUACAAAAUGAAUGAAUUCUGAAUAUGCAUCAUAAGUCCAGACAGUCAAGAGUCUUCACUUCAGAGAUUUUUUACGUUUAAGGAUCAAAGAACUGAACUUUCUCUCUCAGAUCUUCAAAUUAAGUAGAAAAGAGGUCCUGCCGUUAGCACACGGGAGUCAAAUGUGCAAAAAACUCCUCAGUUCAGAACUAGCAUGAGAAAGACUAUUUCUCGCCUUUGUUUUGGAUAUAUGCAGCUCUCACACAUCCUUGUGGUGGCAACUUAACGUGUCGAGAGGCUUUCUGAUGAAACCAUUGUUUUGGCCUGAAAUGUGAAAGCAACGUUUGAGAUCUGGCCUCCAA
Molecule: long non-coding RNA, 8710 nt
Organism: Chroicocephalus ridibundus (black-headed gull)
Lineage: Eukaryota; Metazoa; Chordata; Aves; Charadriiformes; Laridae
Exons: 5
Source: RefSeq, a predicted model, not a curated record